GGCUGUAUCUUGUCUUAAGCGCAGAUAAUCUCUUUUAUUUCUCUCCUCAGAUACAGAGGACAAUUCUCACACAGAAUCCAUUAGCAGGUGAUAUGUCAUUGAUAUGUCAAAACAGGAAUGGGAGAUAAAAGCAGCUACAAAUGAUAAGUUUAUCAAGCACUACAUUGUGUUCAUUUGCAGGGCAUCAAAAAGUGGUGCUGCUGAUUCCUGGCCUUCAUCAGAUGAUGACGAUGAUGAUGAUGAUGAGUUAGAUUUGAGCCCAAAGAAAGUAAACUUGAAGAAACUCAUAAGCACCACAAAAAGGGAAAAAGUAGAAGUCAUAGCGGAUCAGGAUGCAGACAAAUCCUGGAGCGGAUCAGAGUCCGAACCGGACAGUGAGAAUAAGGGUGCAAUCCGCCCUCCACUGUCUAGACCACUCCCAUUCAGCAGCACCUCCCUCCACCCCCCUGUAGCAACCCCACCUGCCU
This 467-nucleotide long non-coding RNA is filed under the name Sinocyclocheilus anshuiensis. RNAcentral describes it as "lncRNA (ENSSANG00000025553.1)". The record is from RNAcentral. Lineage: Eukaryota; Metazoa; Chordata; Actinopteri; Cypriniformes; Cyprinidae.